UCACAUACUCUGCAGAGCGAGGCACUUGAAGAGGCUGUUAGCUUCAGGAUUGUUUCUUGACACGGGUUGUUAUGCGAAACCACAGGCUGGAUUCUCCCGUUCCAUCAAAACAAACACCGAGGGAGAACUCAAAAGCCGUUUACCAAUUGCCUGUCUGAAUGAGACAUUUUAGCGCCACUGUGGUAACAGCUCCCUGCACAUAACACAUCACUCUUAAAGCCACAGUGCUAUCACACUCCCAACUCGCAAACGUCCUUUUCUCUGAUCUCAGACUCUCUGGCUGUACUCCCCUGCCACCAUUAGGAUCAGAGAAGCAGGAAACAGCAGACUGAGUCACUGACUGAAUGCACGCCCCAAAUGGAC
Molecule: long non-coding RNA, 363 nt
Organism: Rhincodon typus (whale shark)
Lineage: Eukaryota; Metazoa; Chordata; Chondrichthyes; Orectolobiformes; Rhincodontidae
Exons: 3
Source: RefSeq, a predicted model, not a curated record